AACGAACGCUGGCGGCAGGCUUAACACAUGCAAGUCGAACGCACCUUUCGGGGUGAGUGGCAGACGGGUGGGUAACGCGUGGGAAUCUACCCUUCUCUACGGGAUAGCUCCGGGAAACUGGAAUUAAUACCGUAUACGUCCUGAGGGAGAAAGAUUUAUCGGGGAAGGAUGAGCCCGCGUUGGAUUAGCUAGUUGGUGGGGUAAAGGCCUACCAAGGCGACGAUCCAUAGCUGGUCUAAGAGGAUGAUCAGCCACAGUGGGAGUGAGACACGGCCCACACUCCUGCGGGAGGCAGGAGUGGGUGAUACUGGAAAGUGGGCGCAAGCCUGAUGGCGCCCUGCCGGGUGAGUGAUGAAGGCCCGAAGGUUGUAAAGCUCUUUCAGUGGGGACGAUAAUGACGGUACCCACAGAAGAAGCCCCGGCUAACUUCGUG
This 433-nucleotide ribosomal RNA is filed under the name uncultured bacterium. RNAcentral's name for it is "partial 16S ribosomal RNA". It matches the Rfam family "Bacterial small subunit ribosomal RNA", at positions 29 to 507 of the family's 1533-position model. The record is from RNAcentral.